UCUCAUGUAGUAACUAAGCAUGACGGGACUGGACGUGAGUAAGUCGUUGGAAGUCCGCAAUGCUAUGCCGGGAAACGAGAAGCAAAACAGAGUCCACCGCAGUUUGCAUCGUAGUAACACUGGAAGCAACCUUGUGGAUACCCCAUUUCACUAUCAAUUCGUUCCUUGCUUGCAUGGCAUCUGUUUGCUGCGCUCGUGACACCGCAAACCGGAAACAGCGCAGACCUGAAACGCAACGACCGGGCAGCACCGCCGGAAAACUCCCUGAUUACAGCUGAUCGUUCAGGUCUUCAUGCAUCCCUGCUGUUGCUUUUGCCCUGCGAUACCGUACGGGCCUACAAGGAAGGCACAUUUUAGUCAACUACUCUCCACGGGGAUCCACACCUUCAGCUCAUCCCUUCCCAAAAUGAGCACUUUCAUUCCCCAAUCCUUCCGUCUUUAAGGUAGUCUCGAGUAUAUUAGCCGUAUCCAUAUAACAGGUGCGGAUAGGGACCGGGUGGUGCGGUGUCCUUGUGGUGGUGCGUCGCGCGUGUUGGAGUAUCCCCCUUGCUGUCAGGGCCUAACAACGACCCGCGAUGCCUCCUGGGACUACAGUGGCUCCCCCCAGAGCAUCAAGGCAAUACGAACAAGCAGCGAAACAAUGAAUUUUUAUGCUCGAGUAGAAAACAUGUAUCUUGACUUCCUCAAGGAGCCGAUGAGGUAUGAUACCUUGUAAUACCCGAUUUGAUCUUAUUUCGCUACUCAACUCUCGCGACUCUCGCGAACAACCCUAGGACUUGCACGUGCAGAUGUGCUGAUGUGCUGAUGAUGCUGGAACAUCUGACGAGCGCCUGACUAAUGAGCCGCGUCCUGGUUGAAUAAGGCCCACAGUGUUGUGCGGGAGGUGUUUUCCUUGGAGUGGUGCAUACGAGACCCGAUCGGGGUCCACUGGUGUGUAACAAUCUCAAACGGAAGAGUGACAUGAUAUGGGACCUGGGAGCCUGGGAUCUUGGGAGCCUGAAGGUGCCUAGGAGCGUGAAGGUGCCUGGGUGCCGUGUGCACGCCUGGAUGCGGCUUAUUUCCCUCCCUUUCCUUCGUUGCCACGGACUUCGUCUGAAUGCCCUGUACCGCGUCUUCUUCAAAACUGCCUUUCCACACUCAACGGGAUACGUCCUCUUCGCCCCAGCUGCAAUCCUUCUUAUCAAGCCUCCUGCAUUUCUUCCUACAUCAGUCGUACGCCUCGCACGAUACAAGUACAUGCUGUGUGCCG
This 1249-nucleotide long non-coding RNA is filed under the name Volvox carteri. RNAcentral's name for it is "long non-coding RNA (VCAR_LNC001267)". The record is from RNAcentral. Lineage: Eukaryota; Viridiplantae; Chlorophyta; Chlorophyceae; Chlamydomonadales; Volvocaceae.